This 21-nucleotide non-coding RNA is filed under the name Caenorhabditis elegans. Lineage: Eukaryota; Metazoa; Nematoda; Chromadorea; Rhabditida; Rhabditidae. The record is from RNAcentral.
AGAGGAGAGGUAAAUCUACGG